UACAGAGGCCUCGAGCGUUAGGCGGAAUCACUGGGCUUAAAGCGUGUGUAGGCGGACCCCUAAGUGCCUUGUGAAAUCCCACGGCUCACCCGUGGAACUGCUGGGCAUACUGGGGGUCUUGAGCCACCUAGGGGCUACCGGAACAAAUGGUGGAGCGGUGAAAUGCGUAGAUAUCAGGAGGAACACCGGUGGCGAAGGCGGGUCUCUGGGCAGUAACUGACGCUGAGGAGCGAAAGCGUGGGGAGCGAACAGG
Molecule: ribosomal RNA, 253 nt
Filed under: uncultured bacterium
Lineage: Bacteria
Description: partial 16S ribosomal RNA
Rfam family: Bacterial small subunit ribosomal RNA
Source: RNAcentral